UCAGGCUCUGCUGCAGUAGAGAUCUUAGAGAGCAAGAUUCAAAUAGCCCAGUUUUCACUGCACUUCCAGAGACAAUCCCACUGAAAACAAAACAAGAGGCCUGAGGCGACAUGGUUCAUGAGGGCUGGGUUGAGGAGGAAAGGGAUGGGAGGCUGGUGUUUCUGGGAGAUCACCAGGUGCUUCAGAAUUGAUUCCUUGAGGACUUGCUCCAUGAUUUUUCCAUAACUAAUUUUGUACCAUAACAAAUUUGUCCACUUUAUUAAAAGUGAGGCUUUCCUUGGUACCAAACUAUAAAAGGGGCAAUAUGUCUGUCAGCAUACUGCUUCUGUAGAGAGCAAACUAUUGAAUAUGUCUGACAAAGAAGAACUGUCUAAUUAGUCUACAUUUUUCAAAAAAUAAUUGCUUGUCAACUAGUUAAACCAUCUUUCUGGAAACAUUUCCCAGGGCAGAAACUGAAAUUACAGCUGGCAUCAUCCCCUACUCCAUACAGAAUGGGAAAUGAGCUGGAUGUUUGGUUUUCAGAACCUACAAAACAGUCUGGUGCAGAGGCCCUAAGAAAAACUUGCAAUUCUAAGGUGAGCUAGACCGAUGAUCUGUCUCUCCAUGGCAUUUCUUUCAAGUGCCAUGUACAGUACCCACACUUCUGAGUGCAGCCCUAUGAUUCACCCCACCUUUUGCUUGAUCAUCAGUUUAGAGCACCCCAUUUCCCAACUGUAUUACUGCAGGUCCAACUGGGUCUGCCACCUUCUAUCGAGUCCUCUGUGAGAGCUGUGACCAGCUGGUAAAAGCAGUGACAGAAUAGCCUCUUCACAACAUAGUAUGAUUUAUUUAUCCAGAGGAACAUCAAAACAGAAAGAAAAGGGUUAAAAAUAACAAAAGCCUAAGUUUUCAUUUCCCUACCUGGCUAGCUUCAAGUAGCUUGUGCUUAACCAAGACACCGCCAAAGCACUGGGGCUGAGUGAGACAGGCUGCCCCAGCAACUACUGCCUCUCUGACAGUCUGACCCACAACUUGGCGGGUGGGGGGAAGAAGAGUUUUCUUCACAUGGAUCUCAGGUCACAGGCUUUUAUCCAUUUCAAAGUUCUUUUGAAUCAGAGUUCCUGCAUGUUGAUCUCCUGCGGUUUCCAUUAGGACUCCUGAACCUGAUCAAACUGGGUUAUGUAUGUCUAAAGAGGGGCAGAGGUAAUCUUCCUGCAGUGGAUACCAGAUAUUGUCCAACUGAGCACAGGCAAUUGAAUUCUGUCUGCUAUCAUUGAUUUGGAUUACUGUAUGAUUUAACUGUCAUCUUUUAACCAGCAAUACAAUAACCACUAAUCCCACAUAUAUAUAUAUAACAUUCAUAAAAAGUACUACAGCUACCUCCCACGUUCUUCACACAUGCUCUAGCUAAAAAAUAAAAAGACUAGAUUUGGAAAAACACCUAUGUUUUUGCAACUAGAUUUUGCAAGCACAAUGUUUUAUAGCGAAUGGGUGACCUAGUUAUUUAAUUUGAAAAGAGCUGUUAAGCAAUGAAAUAGCUUCAUUUCAUAACAUUGUUUCACUUUGCAUUGAAAGAAUGAUAAAAAAGAACAUUAUUUGGAUUUCAGUAAAUGUUCUGUUCUAUGAAAUUGUACAUAGUGUACUUCCAGUCACAUCAAUCCCACUAUAAUGCAUGGCUAAUUUCUAUGCCAAACUCAAAGAGGGCCAAAUCCUGAGGUUCUUACUCAACAUUUACUCUGUUCUUACUUGGGCAGAACUCAUAUAAGGGUGGGAGUUUGCCUGAGUAAAAAUUGUUUGAGGAAUUAGGAUUUGAACCAAAUGAGAUGACCCAGCACAUCUUUAAUUAUGCAAAUGGCACAUCUGUAAGCAUAAGUUCUCCCUUUCGGCUCAUUUCUAACACAGGAAGGCUGAUAUACUGCUUCAGGACUCCACGUUACACCUAUACACAAUAGAAUGAGCUCCCCUCUCCCCUCACAGCCACUCCAUGCCCAAUAAAGAUGUAAUUCUUGUUUCUGUUUCAUCUAUUGGAAUCUCAGUGCCAGUCACCCUCUCCUCCCUUCUGCAAUAGGAGGGCUUUAGUUACCUCCUCUAGCUUUGAAUUGGACGGGAAGUGAUCACAAUCCCUGGAGAUCUGUUUGGAGGAUGCUGGGACUUUUUUAACAUAAGAUAUGUUCCCCCCACAUAAACUCUGAGUGGCAUGAGUUUACAUCCUGGCCCUGGAGACAGGAUGUAGGUCCCUUCCACCUCCUUCCCACCUAUGCCUAUUGCUUUCAAGGGGUGGAGGGGGCAGGAUCAAACUCACAAUGGACAAACUGUCCUCAGGUCAGCCUGCUCAAGAUCAGUGCACCUUGCAUAUGGCAUAUGUCACUCUUUGGGACCUAUGUGCCUCUGAAGGGGCAUUCCCUCACUGUGGCAGAGAGAAGUCUAAUGAGCUCUUCUGGGCCUGUUCAACCCCAAUGAGUCUCCACUUGCAAGGCUUGUUGUGUGGGUGGGGAGGGGGAGACUGCAUAAAAGGGAAAACCUGCCACAGGCAGGAGCAGAGAACAGGAAGAAGACUGCCCCACCUCAGACAGCAGAUACAGGCCUGCGAACAGGGAGACAGUAACAAGCCUCACUAUUUCUGAAGCUGCAUGACCCAGCACACCCCAUGAGAAAGGGAUGGUGGUA
Molecule: non-coding RNA, 2646 nt
Organism: Chelonoidis abingdonii (Abingdon island giant tortoise)
Lineage: Eukaryota; Metazoa; Chordata; Testudines; Testudinidae
Source: RefSeq, a predicted model, not a curated record